Leptopilina boulardi is the source of this 912-nucleotide long non-coding RNA. RefSeq lists it as uncharacterized. The record is from RefSeq and is a predicted model, not a curated record. NCBI's taxonomy places the organism in Eukaryota, Metazoa, Arthropoda, Insecta, Hymenoptera, Figitidae. The transcript is spliced from 3 exons.
AAUAAUUUCCAUUUAAAGUUAUCGGUUUCUAAAAUUAGAAUCCAUUAGAUGUGAACAAAUCUACAACCAUUUGGGGUCUUAUGCAAUGUGUGGGUGACUCUUCAAAAAUAUUCAAUUUGUACUUGAGCUACUUAAAGUUUUCAAGUUGCGACCGAUAAUGAUAAGUAUCGGGAGAUGAAGUCGAGGUCGCGAAAGAAAGAAAAAAAGAGAGAGAGAGAGAGAGGUUCCAAAGCAGAGUGAAGAAAUGAUAUAUAGGAAGGAAGUUUGGUUCGGAGGAAAAGAUAUAAUAUGAAAAGAGAGAAGGGUGUCGGAGAGACAAGCAGACACCAAGCUACAGAAUCGGCACGCGCCCGCCACGCGCCCUUCUUUUAUCCUCCCCCUUUUUUUCCUUUCCGUCUCUCUUUCUCCACAUCCUUAUUCCCUUCCAUGGUUCAUCGCUACUUCCCUUCAACAUUCACCCACACAUUCUGUAUUUCUUCUAUAUACAUAUAUAUAGCUGGAUGCGACUUGCGUGAUUUAUUUUGGAUUUAUCGUAAAAGAGGGAUGAGGAUCCAAUAUAUGAAUGAAUUUGGUCGGUGACUUGCGUUAUUUUUUUCUAUGAAUGGAAACGCACUUUUUUGGAAGUAUAUGGAUAUAUAUAUAUAUAUAUAUAUAUAUAUAUAUAUAUAUAUAUAUAUAUGCGGGUGGAGUGCAUUUAUGAAGGGGAACCGCACACAUUUCUAUAUUUCUUUUCUUCAAGCAACACGAAUGGCCAGCCAGCUGAUCGCUUUUGCUUUUGUAAAGCUCAUCGCCUUCACCCUUACCACCUGCAAACACAAAAAUUUUAAAUCGAUCCACUUAAUCCUUCUAUUAAAUGCUCCUGUAUUCGCAAAUUCGUUAUGCAACAAUGGGAUAAUCGGAGAAAAAUUAACA